GGCGCCGGCAGCAGGGCUCGGAUUACACGUCCACCUCUGAGGAGGAGUACGGCUCCCGCCACGGCUCCCCCAAACACACACGCUCCCACACCUCAACAGCCACUCAGACCCCGAGGGCUGGCAGCUCCAGUCGGGCUCGUUCCCGGGCCCCCGGUCCCCGGGACACAGACGACGAUGAGGAGGAACCUGACCCUUAUGGUUUCAUCGUGCAGACGGCAGAGAUUGCAGAGAUCGCCAGGCUGAGCCAGACACUGGUGAAGGACGUGGCCAUCCUAGCCCGGGAGAUCCAUGAUGUGGCUGGGGACGGUGACACACUGGGCUCCUCGGGGCCUGCCCACAGUGCCUCCCUCAGCACCAUGCCCAGCACCCCCGCCUCGACCAUCUCUGCCCGGGAGGAGCUGGUGCAGCACAUCCCUGAGGCCAGCCUCAACUUCCAGAAGGUGCCUCCCGGCUCGCUGAACUCUCGGGACUUUGACCAGAACAUGAACGACAGCUGUGAGGACGCCCUGGCCAACAAGACACGGCCUCGGAACCGAGAGGAGGUGAUCUUUGAUAACCUGAUGCUGAACCCCGGUGUCCCAGCUGUCGCAGGCCAUCCGUGAGAACACAGAGCACCUUGCCGAGAAGAUGAAGAUCCUCUUUCAGAACACAGGGAGAGCCUGGGAGGACCUGGAAGCCAGGAUCAACGCCGAGAACGAGGUGCCCAUCCUGAAGACGUCUAACAAGGAAAUCAGCUCCAUCCUGAAGGAACUGAGGCGGGUGCAGAAGCAGCUAGAAGUUAUCAACGCCAUCGUGGACCCCAGUGGGAGCCUGGACCUGCUCACAGGAAACAGGAGCUUGGCCAGCUCCGCACAGCCGGGGCUGGGGAAGGGCCGUGUGGCUGCCCAGAGCCCACCCUCGCCCGCCUCAGCCGAGGCCCUGCUGCCAGCCCUGCCGCUGAGGAGUUUCCCACAGCGGGUCAGCUGUGGGCCUCCCAGCCUCCCGGACCCCACCUUCCUCCCUGAUGCCGAGAGGUUCCUGAUCUAGGCCCCGGACCUGGCCAGGCUGGCCUACCUGUGCGUGUGCGUCUCUGCCUCCCGUCCGCCGCACGCCUGCCUGCCUGCCUGGCGGCAAGUGGUUCUCCCUGAAGACCCCCACAUGUGCCAUAUCCCCGUGGGCGGGGGCCUCCCACGCCCUUGCCCCCUCGUCAGCUCCCAGCCAGCACCCUACUCACCCUGUCCAGCCCUGUGGCCACCCCCACCCCUGCCCCGCCCCGCCCCCUACAGGUCUCUGGCCCAGCUCCUGGCCAGGCUGCUGCCAAGGUUUCAAGCCCUCAAGGGCAUUACCCCAUCUCCUCUUCAUCACUGUUAUUUUUGUCUUUAGCUUUAAAGGAAAGAGUUGUUGGUGCCAUUGCAGGUGCCUCCUCCAGGCCUGACUGGCUCCACCAGGCACUAACCUGCCAUACCCCUUUGUACUGGCCUGCGGCCAGGCAGAGGAAGAGAGGUUGACUGUGGGGUCAUUUGGUGCCAAACAUGGAGCUGGGGCAGGCUCACCUGUCCUGGGACUAUCUAAGAUGGCAGGGCACUUGCCCUGGUGGCUCCCACCUGACCCCAGGCCUUUUAUAGGCAGGAGCCCCACUGCUUCCAGCCUUUGGUGCCAACACAGUUGCCAAACCCAUUGAGCUUGGGGCUGCCCCGUGAAGCCCUCCUGGGUGUGGACUGGGGGCUGGUUGAGAGCUGAGCCAUGCACACAGGUACAGAUACCCACCCCCACUCCCAUGCACUCAGCUAGUCCAGGCGCCUCCAUGCUGCACCGUGAGGACUGGGGGGCAUGUCCCCUUGAGGGGCUAUGGGCCUCUGUACUUGGGCUUCCAAGGGCCUGGGCACAGCCAGGUGCGUGGCAGCCCUUCAGGCGGGAGUGAGUGCAUGACCAAAGUGACUGGAAGCCGGGUUUCCGGAAGCUCGCAGCUUGGCCUGCACCACACGCCCUCCCCUUUUGGCUUCACGCCAUCAGGCCUCAGGUGGGCAUGGGGGCAGGGAUGGGCCCAGGAACUGUUGUUUUCUCAGGAUUCUUUCAGCUGGGAACAUGGCAGGUGAGCAGAGCUUGGCCCCUCUGCCGUGGCCCCUGCUGGGGCAGCCCGUGUUGCCAGAGCCUCUAAGCCAAAGAGCCCAUUGGCCGUGGUUGGUGGGGAUGGACGUGGGGGGUGUCCCACCUGGACCAGACUGGCGUAGGUGAGCUCCACACCCCGCCUGGCAUUGGUACGAGAGUCAGACCUGGACAGGGCCAGCUGCUGGGGGAGUGGCGCUGGGGGCUGGAGGCUGGAAGUGGGUGGUUUGUGUCCCCUGUUUACUUUUAGCUGAUCUGGGGUUGGGUGUACGGGUUCUGUGCCUCUGAGCCCUGCGGCCCACCUGAUGUUUACGUGUGGGGGGGCGGGGGGCCGGUGUCUCCCCCUGGUCCCCGCCCCAAGAGCCUGCUGUCUAUAUGGAGGAGGUGCUAGUCCGGCCCACCGGGCUGCUGCCCACCCCUGCAUGCCUCAGUUACCCACCCUGCCUGCCCCUGGACAUGAAGUGGUCACUCUUCAUCCACGGCUCCUGCCCACCCCUCAGCAGUGGCAGUGCAAUGUUUCGAAUUCACAAGUUCCCGCUCCUCCCCACGCUGAGCUCCUUUGCUCCUCCCCCUCCAGCCUUUGCCUGGGAAUGGUCCUUGUUUGCCAGGCUUCUCGGAGGGUUCACUGUACAUUCGUUCUCAGGUGGUCUUGUGGCUGUCUUUCGGAAAAUGGUUAUUUUAUAUGAUUUAUCAUGGAAUUUGUUCUAAUAAAUCAUUCUUCUAUCACAUGGCAG
Molecule: RNA transcript, 2819 nt
Organism: Rhinopithecus roxellana (golden snub-nosed monkey)
Lineage: Eukaryota; Metazoa; Chordata; Mammalia; Primates; Cercopithecidae
Gene name: centrosomal protein of 170 kDa protein B-like
Exons: 7
Source: RefSeq, a predicted model, not a curated record